GAGGGAGAUCGUCGGGAAGUCCGGGAAAAGAAGACAAAAUAACUACGACCCUUUCUCGAUUUCUCCGCCCUCGAAAUCAACAAUAGAAGCUUCUGAAUCCAUUUAACGUCGAUUCCACAGCUGAAGCCAAGUGGCCAUUGAUGCGUUAAAUAAAAAGUUCAACUAAAUAUUUUUCAAAGCUAAAAAACAAAGCAGCAGCUACGUGCGGGAGAUUGAGAAUCCCCAUUUGGAGAACGGUGGGUGAUAUGGGACGUUACUUUCGAAGGGGCAUCGCUAGAAGUAAUGCAAAGUUUGCACACGAGCCACGGAGAAAACCCAGAAGUUGGGACAGACCAAAGAACUUGAGCAAAUAAGCAAUAAGACAACAACUAACAAGUGAAAAGUCUCGCGAAAGUCAGGGUAUUUAUCUUGGGGAUACCCUGGAUUUAUCGCAUACAACUUUCACUGUAAUCCGAAUUAUCUUAGCCAAGUUUUUUACUUAUUUACCAAUCUACCAUUAGCGUUCUCCCAUAGGCAACCAUUUACAGGGUAACAGCGGCCCUUCCACCCACAAAAAUCGCCCUUUCAGCUUCCCCCUUCGUAGGUAGACUCCAUAGCAGAAUCCGAUCCGGACCGGAAUACUCCCCGUGCCCGGGACACCGCUUGUCAGUUUCUAUCCUUCGGCCAGGACACGUACACAAACAUUUCAUGGUUCAAUAAAUUUGCUGCCGAGCGUACCGGAAACUUUGCGAAAAAUACAUUGGGAAAAUGCUCGGCGCUGCACUGGUGAAGGCAGAGAAAUUAUCUGUAGACCAGGACCUGCCUCCUACACACACACACACAUAAGCACGCACACACGAAGGGGCCACCUGCACACACACACACAUAAACAUGGAGAAGAAAUAAAAUUGCAGCUGUGUGCGAGCACCGCCUCGUAUAAUUUUG
Drosophila melanogaster (fruit fly) is the source of this 924-nucleotide non-coding RNA. NCBI's taxonomy places the organism in Eukaryota, Metazoa, Arthropoda, Insecta, Diptera, Drosophilidae. The record is from Ensembl.